Molecule: ribosomal RNA, 459 nt
Filed under: uncultured bacterium
Lineage: Bacteria
Description: partial 16S ribosomal RNA
Rfam family: Bacterial small subunit ribosomal RNA
Source: RNAcentral
CCUACGGGUGGCAGCAGUGAGGAAUAUUGGUCAAUGGGCGUAAGCCUGAACCAGCCAAGUCGCGUGAGGGAUGAAGGUUCUAUGGAUCGUAAACCUCUUUUAUAAGGGAAUAAAGUGUGGGACGUGUCCUAUUUUGUAUGUACCUUAUGAAUAAGGAUCGGCUAACUCCGUGCCAGCAGCCGCGGUAAUACGGAGGAUGCGAGCGUUAUCCGGAUUUAUUGGGUUUAAAGGGUGCGCAGGCGGCCUGUUAAGUCAGCGGUAAAAGCCCGGGGCUCAACCCCGGCGAGCCGUUGAAACUGGCGGGCUGGAGUUGGAGAGAAGUACGCGGAAUGCGCGGUGUAGCGGUGAAAUGCUUAGAUAUCGCGCAGAACCCCGAUUGCGAAGGCAGCGUACCGGCUCCACACUGACGCUGAGGCACGAAAGCGUGGGUAUCGAACAGGAUUAGAUACCCUGGUAGUC